UGUUGCCAUCUUCCUUCAGGUUAGGAUAAUGUAGGUGCGAGUAGACUGUUCUCAUAAAACCGAGGAACCAUAGAGUCUCACAGCUGAAGCGGGUGGUAGAGAUCUUAUCGCUCCACGGCUUCAUUUUUGAAUGAAAAAAAAAAAAAAGGUUCCAUUCACAAUAGCAACAAUCGCAACAACAACAACAAAAACCAUGAAACAAGUAGGAAUAACUCUAAUAAGAAAUAUGUAGAAUUCAUACGAAGAAAACUACAGAACCAUACAGAAUCAUAUCCAACUGGGAUAAAAUUAGACAGGCAGUAAUGAAGAGCCUUACCAUGGUCCUGAAUGAAAAGAGGAAAAAUUGUGAUGUCAGUUUUUAUCAAAUUAAAUGAAUAGACUUAAUUCAAGUCUACAAAAAAGUCUGGGAACAAAUCUGUGAAGAUUAGAGACCUAUUUUGACGACAGAAUUUAAGACUACACGGAUUCCUGCAGGCAUAUAAAAGCCACUUUCAAUGCUGUCUCAGAUAAAUGGGGUGGUGAGAGGAAGGAUCUGGAAGAAUGAGACUCCAGUGCUCUCUUCAGCAUCUAUAGUGAAACGACCAGUCAGAAAGUUAACAAGGAGGUGAGCCAGGCACUGAGUCCAGAUUUGCACUUAUUCAGAAGAAGGUGUGGAAAAAUAUAUAUUAACCCUUCUCAGGUGUCACUCUCCGAGUAGGAGAAUGGACAAAGCGUGAAUAUGGAGGAGGACUUUUACUUUUUAUUGAAUGUAUACAUUUAUAUUGUUUGCCAUAAACAAAUCAAACAUGUAUUAUUUUCAUACAAAUUUGUAAAAGAAAACCCUGAAGUCUGUGAUUCCCAGAGCCAAUGCUGUUUCUAUUACACAAUGAUCAGGACCCACAAAUGAACAGAAACACAAGGCAGCACAUAGGUACCAAGUGCAACAAAAAUACUCCAUCUAUCACAGUAGCUGAGAGCUAGGUCAAUGUGGGUUGGGUCUAUUUAGAAAAAAUUACACAGAGAAGAAAUAAAAUGAAGAUGAAAGAAUGUUCCAAGUAAGUGGAGGCAGGCAUAUUCCAAAAAGGGUACCACCCAUCAGUAAAAUGGUUUGGUGGUGUUCAGGGAAGAGUGUGCACAUCUUUCUGGUGGGGAGAAGGCUGU
This is a non-coding RNA of Equus caballus (horse), 1140 nucleotides long. The record is from RefSeq and is a predicted model, not a curated record. Lineage: Eukaryota; Metazoa; Chordata; Mammalia; Perissodactyla; Equidae.